Molecule: ribosomal RNA, 465 nt
Filed under: uncultured bacterium
Lineage: Bacteria
Description: partial 16S ribosomal RNA
Rfam family: Bacterial small subunit ribosomal RNA
Source: RNAcentral
GACGAACGCUGGCGGCGUGCUUAACACAUGCAAGUCGAACGGAAAGGCCCCUUUGGGGGUACUCGAGUGGCGAACGGGUGAGUAACACGUGAGUAACCUGCCCUUGACUUCGGGAUAACUUCAGGAAACUGGGGCUAAUACCGGAUAGGAAUCCUUGCUGCAUGGUGGGGGUUGGAAAGCUUCGGCGGUUUUGGAUGGACUCGCGGCUUAUCAGCUUGUUGGUGGGGUAGUGGCUUACCAAGGCUUUGACGGGUAGCCGGCCUGAGAGGGCGACCGGCCAUAUUGGGGAUGAGUGACGGCCAGGACCCCGGGGGGGGGAAGAAGGGGGGAGUGUUGAACAAGGGGGGGAAGCUUGAUGCGGCACCGCGGGGUGGGGGAGGAGGGCUUGGGGGUUGAAACCCGUUUCGGGCGGGGGGGAAGCUUGUGGGGAGGGUACCGGAAAAAGAAGCCCGGCCUAACUAGGUG